GGCUGUAUACAACAAAGGCUGUAUAUUCUGUACAUUUUUAUGUGCCAUAGGACAAUGUUGGGUGUUGGGGCAAAGCAGCUGGCAGGUGCCUCAUGUAGAUUAAUAUUAAUAUAUCAAUACAUUAUUAUAUAGUUGGCUGCAAAUAAAUCGAUAUAGCAAAUGACUAUCUACAACAAAUUAAUUUUGGUCUUAUUUUAAUUUAGAGGUGUCAAAUAACAAGUCCAUUUUUGUGCAAAAAAACAUGUGUCUCGGCCCUUGAAGUACCAUGAUAAGCAGUAAAAAGCCAUACAAAUAUCACAUAUUCAAAAUAUUAUAAACUUGGAUGAACUAUAAGUACUUCUUAGAUGUGUAGAAUAAGUUGAAAACACAAAUGGUAUAAAGAAUGCAGGAGCAGUUUCUCUGCUCAGGCUAAGGACAGACGUUUGUACAAUUAGAUCUGCCCCAAAAGGAUGCCUCAUUUCAGAGUCCAGAGGUAACUAUCCAUUUCUGCAGGGCCCAGCUGAUGCUCUGUUAGGUUAAAGGUCACCAAUGAAGAGAUGAGAUUCUUGUCUUGUCUGAAUUGAACCUGAAGUGGAUAAAUUCAGGUUCAAUUCUGAGAAUCUAUUAUUAGAUGGAGUGAUUCAUAAGUAUUUGAAUGAUAGAAGCAUAAUAGAUACAAAAUGAGACAUUAGGGAUUAAGAAAGAUGGAGUAUAUUACAAGGGGAGUGGUGUGGGACGGAGGAACUGGUUUCAUCUUGUUCUUUCAAAUAGGCUGUUUUUGGCCUUAAUAUUUAUGCCCUGAUUUGAAACAUAAAUUUCAGAACCCUGAAACUCAAAAGCUUUGGCUGUAUAAG
This 833-nucleotide long non-coding RNA is filed under the name Bos taurus (domestic cattle). Its description in RNAcentral is "long non-coding RNA NONBTAT022370". Lineage: Eukaryota; Metazoa; Chordata; Mammalia; Artiodactyla; Bovidae. The record is from RNAcentral.